RNAcentral lists this non-coding RNA (45 nucleotides) under Schistosoma mattheei. Lineage: Eukaryota; Metazoa; Platyhelminthes; Trematoda; Strigeidida; Schistosomatidae. The record is from RNAcentral.
AUCCAGCUGACGAGCCUCAAAUAGGACGAAAGGUGCCUCCUAGAU